Molecule: ribosomal RNA, 395 nt
Filed under: uncultured bacterium
Lineage: Bacteria
Description: bacterial SSU rRNA
Rfam family: Bacterial small subunit ribosomal RNA
Source: RNAcentral
GACGAACGCUGGCGGCGUGCUUAACACAUGCAAGUCGAGCGGUAAGGCCCUUUCGGGGGUACACGAGCGGCGAACGGGUGAGUAACACGUGGGUGACCUGCCCUCAGCUCUGGGAUAAGCCCGGGAAACUGGGUCUAAUACUGGAUAUGACUCCAUGACGCAUGUUGUGGGGUGGAAAGCCUUGUGCGGCUGGGGAUGGGCCCGCGGCCUAUCAGCUUGUUGGUGGGGUGAUGGCCUACCAAGGCGACGACGGGUAGCCGGCCUGAGAGGGCGACCGGCCACACUGGGACUGAGACACGGCCCAGACUCCUACGGGAGGCAGCAGUGGGGAAUCUUGCGCAAGUGGGCGAAAGCCUGACGCAGCGACGCCGCGUGAGGGAUGACGGCCUCGGCGU